RNAcentral lists this ribosomal RNA (3152 nucleotides) under Streptomyces sp. SID8499. RNAcentral describes it as "23S ribosomal RNA". It matches the Rfam family "Bacterial large subunit ribosomal RNA". Lineage: Bacteria; Bacillati; Actinomycetota; Actinomycetes; Kitasatosporales; Streptomycetaceae. The record is from RNAcentral.
ACAGUGGACGCGAGCAUCUGUGGCCAAGUUUUUAAGGGCGCACGGUGGAUGCCUUGGCACCAGGAACCGAUGAAGGACGUGGGAGGCCGCGAUAGUCCCCGGGGAGUCGUCAACCAGGCUUUGAUCCGGGGGUUUCCGAAUGGGGAAACCCGGCAGUCGUCAUGGGCUGUCACCCGCUGCUGAACACAUAGGCAGUGUGGAGGGAACGAGGGGAAGUGAAACAUCUCAGUACCCUCAGGAAGAGAAAACAACCGUGAUUCCGGGAGUAGUGGCGAGCGAAACCGGAUGAGGCCAAACCUACGACGUGUGAGACCCGGCAGGGGUUGCGUCGUGGGGGUUGUGGGAUCUCUCUUUCACAGUCUGCCGGCUGUGAGACGAGUCAGAAACCGUUGAUGUAGGCGAAGGACAUGCGAAAGGUCCGGCGUAGAGGGUAAGACCCCCGUAGUCGAAACGUCAGCGGCUCGUUUGAGAGACACCCAAGUAGCACGGGGCCCGAGAAAUCCCGUGUGAAUCUGGCGGGACCACCCGCUAAGCCUAAAUAUUCCCUGGUGACCGAUAGCGGAUAGUACCGUGAGGGAAUGGUGAAAAGUACCCCGGGAGGGGAGUGAAAUAGUACCUGAAACCGUGUGCCUACAAGCCGUGGGAGCGUCGGACGAGGACUUGUCUUCGUCUCGUGACUGCGUGCCUUUUGAAGAAUGAGCCUGCGAGUUUGCGGUGUGUUGCGAGGUUAACCCGUUGUGGGGUAGCCGUAGCGAAAGCGAGUCCGAAUAGGGCGGUUGAGUAGCACGCUCAAGACCCGAAGCGGAGUGAUCUAGCCAUGGGCAGGUUGAAGCGGAGGUAAGACUUCGUGGAGGACCGAACCCACCAGGGUUGAAAACCUGGGGGAUGACCUGUGGUUAGGGGUGAAAGGCCAAUCAAACUCCGUGAUAGCUGGUUCUCCCCGAAAUGCAUUUAGGUGCAGCGUCGUGUGUUUCUUGCCGGAGGUAGAGCACUGGAUAGGCGAUGGGCCCUACCGGGUUACUGACCUUAGCCAAACUCCGAAUGCCGGUAAGUGAGAGCGCGGCAGUGAGACUGUGGGGGAUAAGCUCCAUGGUCGAGAGGGAAACAGCCCAGAGCAUCGACUAAGGCCCCUAAGCGUACGCUAAGUGGGAAAGGAUGUGGAGUCGCAGAGACAACCAGGAGGUUGGCUUAGAAGCAGCCACCCUUGAAAGAGUGCGUAAUAGCUCACUGGUCUAGUGAUUCCGCGCCGACAAUGUAGCGGGGCUCAAGCGUACCGCCGAAGUCGUGUCAUUGCAGCAUAUACGCCCAACGGCGGCUGUGAUGGGUAGGGGAGCGUCGUCUGCCGGGUGAAGCAGCACCGGAAGGUAGUUGUGGACGGUUGACGAGUGAGAAUGCAGGCAUGAGUAGCGAUUCACACGUGAGAAACGUGUGCGCCGAUUGACUAAGGGUUCCUGGGUCAAGCUGAUCUGCCCAGGGUAAGUCGGGACCUAAGGCGAGGCCGACAGGCGUAGUCGAUGGAUAACCGGUUGAUAUUCCGGUACCCGCUGUGAAGCGUCAAACAUCGAGCAUCGUGAUGCUAAGGCCGUGAAGCCGCCCUUGAUCUCUUCGGAGUGAUGGGGAGUGGUGGAGCCGCUGAACCAAGCGGUUAGUAGGUGAGUGAUGGGGUGACGCAGGAAGGUAGUCCAUCCCGGGCGGUGGUUGUCCCGGGGUAAGGGUGUAGCCCGAGUGGUAGGCAAAUCCGCCACUCAUACAAGGGUGAGACCUGAUGCCGAGCCGAUUGUGGUGAAGUGGAUGAUCCUAUGCUGUCGAGAAAAGCCUCUAGCGAGUUUCAUGGCGGCCCGUACCCUAAACCGACUCAGGUGGUCAGGUAGAGAAUACCGAGGCGUUCGGGUGAACUAUGGUUAAGGAACUCGGCAAAAUGCCCCCGUAACUUCGGGAGAAGGGGGGCCACACCUGGUGAGGAUCUUUACGGUCUGAGCUGGGGGUGGCCGCAGAGACCAGCGAGAAGCGACUGUUUACUAAAAACACAGGUCCGUGCGAAGCCGUAAGGCGAUGUAUACGGACUGACGCCUGCCCGGUGCUGGAACGUUAAGGGGACCGGUUAGCUUGGAUUCGUCCAGGCGAAGCUGAGAACUUAAGCGCCAGUAAACGGCGGUGGUAACUAUAACCAUCCUAAGGUAGCGAAAUUCCUUGUCGGGUAAGUUCCGACCUGCACGAAUGGCGUAACGACUUCUCGACUGUCUCAACCAUAGGCCCGGUGAAAUUGCACUACGAGUAAAGAUGCUCGUUUCGCGCAGCAGGACGGAAAGACCCCGGGACCUUUACUACAGUUUGAUAUUGGUGUUCGGUUCGGCUUGUGUAGGAUAGCUGGGAGACUGUGAAGCAUGCACGCCAGUGUGUGUGGAGUCGUCGUUGAAAUACCAGUCUGGUCGUGCUGGAUGUCUAACCUGGGUCCGUGAUCCGGAUCAGGGACAGUGUCUGAUGGGUAGUUUAACUGGGGCGGUUGCCUCCUAAAGAGUAACGGAGGCGCCCAAAGGUUCCCUCAGCCUGGUUGGCAAUCAGGUGUUGAGUGUAAGUGCACAAGGGAGCUUGACUGUGAGACCGACGGGUCGAGCAGGGACGAAAGUCGGGACUAGUGAUCCGGCGGUGGCUUGUGGAAGCGCCGUCGCUCAACGGAUAAAAGGUACCCCGGGGAUAACAGGCUGAUCUUCCCCAAGAGUCCAUAUCGACGGGAUGGUUUGGCACCUCGAUGUCGGCUCGUCGCAUCCUGGGGCUGGAGUCGGUCCCAAGGGUUGGGCUGUUCGCCCAUUAAAGCGGUACGCGAGCUGGGUUUAGAACGUCGUGAGACAGUUCGGUCCCUAUCCGCUGUGCGCGUAGGAGUCUUGAGAAGGGCUGUCCCUAGUACGAGAGGACCGGGACGGACGAACCUCUGGUGUGCCAGUUGUUCUGCCAAGGGCAUGGCUGGUUGGCUACGUUCGGGAGGGAUAACCGCUGAAAGCAUCUAAGCGGGAAGCCUGCUUCGAGAUGAGGACUCCCACCCACUUGAUGGGGUAAGGCUCCCAGUAGACGACUGGGUUGAUAGGCCGGAUCUGGAAGCACGGUAACGUGUGGAGGUGACCGGUACUAAUAGGCCGAGGGCUUGUCCUCAGUUG